GAUCAUGGCUCAGGAUGAACGCUAGCUACAGGCUUAACACAUGCAAGUCGAGGAGAAACGACAUCGAAAGCUUGCUUUUGAUGGGCGUCGACCGGCGCACGGGUGAGUAACGCGUAUCCAACCUGCCUGCCACUUGGGGAUAACCUUGCGAAAGUAAGACUAAUACCCAAUGACAUCCCACGAAGACAUCUGAAUGGGAUUAAAGAUUUAUCGGUGAUGGAUGGGGAUGCGU
This 232-nucleotide ribosomal RNA is filed under the name uncultured bacterium. RNAcentral describes it as "partial 16S ribosomal RNA". It matches the Rfam family "Bacterial small subunit ribosomal RNA", at positions 15 to 236 of the family's 1533-position model. The record is from RNAcentral.